Molecule: unclassified non-coding RNA, 433 nt
Filed under: soil metagenome
Description: partial contains 5.8S ribosomal RNA, internal transcribed spacer 2, and large subunit ribosomal RNA
Rfam family: 5.8S ribosomal RNA (bases 1-120)
Source: RNAcentral
GAUGAAGAACGUAGCGAAAUGCGAUACGUAAUGUGAAUUGCAGAAUUCAGUGAAUCAUCGAAUCUUUGAACGCAUAUUGCGCUCUCUGGUAUUCCGGAGAGCAUGCUUGUUUGAGUAUCAGUAAACACCUCAACUUCCAUAUCUUUUUUGAAAUGGGAGUUGGACUUGAGUGAUCCCAACGCUUUUCCUCACCGAAAAGUGGCGGGUUACUUGAAAUGCAGGUGCAGCUGGACUUUUCUCUGAGCUAUAAGCAUAUCUAUUUAGUCUGCCUAAAAAACAGAUUAUUACCUUUGCUGCAGCUAACAUAAUGGAGAUUAGUUCUUGUGCUGACUGAUGCAGGAUUCACAAAGACAGGCUUCGGCCGACUUUGUAAACUCGAUCUCAAAUCAAGUAAGACUACCCGCUGAACUUAAGCAUAUCAAUAAGCGGAGGA